RNAcentral lists this non-coding RNA (24 nucleotides) under Arabidopsis thaliana (thale cress). Lineage: Eukaryota; Viridiplantae; Streptophyta; Magnoliopsida; Brassicales; Brassicaceae. The record is from RNAcentral.
UACAAAGAUAGUUGAUGGCGGUCU